Molecule: transfer RNA, 49 nt
Filed under: Burkholderiales bacterium RIFCSPHIGHO2_02_FULL_66_10
Lineage: Bacteria; Pseudomonadati; Pseudomonadota; Betaproteobacteria; Burkholderiales
Description: tRNA-Ala
Source: RNAcentral
GGGGGUAUAGCUCAGCUGGGAGAGCGCUUGCAUGGCAUGCAAGAGGUCA